RNAcentral lists this ribosomal RNA (434 nucleotides) under uncultured Lachnospiraceae bacterium. Its description in RNAcentral is "partial 16S ribosomal RNA". It matches the Rfam family "Bacterial small subunit ribosomal RNA", at positions 341 to 792 of the family's 1533-position model. The record is from RNAcentral. Lineage: Bacteria; Bacillati; Bacillota; Clostridia; Lachnospirales; Lachnospiraceae.
ACGGAAGGCAGCAGUGGGGGAUAUUGCACAAUGGGGGAAACCCUGAUGCAGCGACGCCGCGUGAGUGAUGAAGUAUUUCGGUAUGUAAAGCUCUAUCAGCAGGGAAGAUAAUGACGGUACCUGACUAAGAAGCCCCGGCUAACUACGUGCCAGCAGCCGCGGUAAUACGUAGGGGGCAAGCGUUAUCCGGAUUUACUGGGUGUAAAGGGUGCGUAGGUGGUAUGGUAAGUCAGAAGUGAAAACCCAGGGCUCAACUUUGGGAUUGCUUUUGAAACUAUCAGACUAGAGUGCAGGAGGGGUAAGCGGAAUUCCUAGUGUAGCGGUGAAAUGCGUAGAUAUUAGGAAGAACACCGGCGGCGAAGGCGGCUUACUGGACUGUAACUGACACUGAUGCACGAAAGCGUGGGGAGCAAACAGGAUUAGAUACCCUGGUA